CCUACGGGUGGCAGCAGUGGGGAAUAUUGGGCAAUGGGGGCAACUCUGACCCAGCAACGCCGCGUGAAUGAUGAAGGUCUUCGGAUUGUAAAGUUCUGUGAUCGGGGAUGAACAAAAUGACGGUACCCGAAGAGCAAGCCACGGCUAACUACGUGCCAGCAGCCGCGGUAAUACGUAGGUGGCAAGCGUUAUCCGGAUUGACUGGGGGUAAAGGGCGUGUAUGCGGGUAAGUAAGUCGGAGGUGAAAACCCUGGGCUCAACCUGGGGCCUACCGUCAAAACUGUUAUACUUGAGUACUGGAGAGGCAGACGGAAUUCCUAGUGUAGCGGUGGAAUGCGUAGAUAUUAGGAGGAACAUCAGGGGCGAAGGCGAUCUACUGGACAGUAACUGACGCUGAGGCACGAAAGCGUGGGGAGCAAACAGGAUUAGAUACCCGAGUAGUC
This 443-nucleotide ribosomal RNA is filed under the name uncultured bacterium. RNAcentral's name for it is "partial 16S ribosomal RNA". It matches the Rfam family "Bacterial small subunit ribosomal RNA", at positions 338 to 795 of the family's 1533-position model. The record is from RNAcentral.